RNAcentral lists this ribosomal RNA (420 nucleotides) under Fusobacteriota bacterium. Its description in RNAcentral is "Fusobacteria bacterium partial 16S ribosomal RNA". It matches the Rfam family "Bacterial small subunit ribosomal RNA", at positions 355 to 776 of the family's 1533-position model. Lineage: Bacteria; Fusobacteriati; Fusobacteriota. The record is from RNAcentral.
UGGGGGAUAUUGCACAAUGGGCGAAAGCCUGAUGCAGCGACGCCGCGUGGGGGAUGAAUGCCUUCGGGUUGUAAACUUCUUUUGCUCUUAACAAGGCAUGCCUUUGGGGUGUGUUGAGUGUUGGGGUUGAUUAGCGCCGGCUAACUACGUGCCAGCAGCCGCGGUAAUACGUAGGGCGCGAGCGUUGUCCGGAAUUAUUUGGCGUAAAGGGCUUGUAGGUGGCUGGUUGCGUCUGUCGUGAAAGCUCAUGGCUUAACUGUGGGUUUGCGGUGGGUACGGGCUGGCUUGAGUGCAGUAGGGGAGGCUGGAAUUCCUGGUGUAGCGGUGGAAUGCGCAGAUAUCAGGAGGAAUACCGGUGGCGAAGGCGGGUCUCUGGGCUGUUACUGACGCUGAGGAGCGAAAGCGUGGGGAGCGAACAGG